UGUUAGUGCAUUUAUAAUAUCAAUUAAUGUUUGAGUGAAAUUGCAAAAUCUGUAAUUUUCUUCGUCUAACACGAAAAUGUGAAAAGAUAGUAGCUAUUCACGAGAAUGGUAUGAUUGGCUGAAGAAAAGCUUGGCUACUCUUGUGGUAUCCAUCUUAUAUUAUUUGCUUAUGUUUCAUUCUAUUUUUCUAUGACUAUGAAUAAGGGAUUUUUCAUUCUAGCUGAUUUAAAACAAUUGGGACCAUUUAUAAUAUGAGGAUCAUGUUUUUGACAGUGAAUGACAAAUACUGUAAUAUUUUAGUGCUUCACUUCAUACAAGGUAUCUCACAGUUUUUAUUUCUUUUGAACUUAAUAAUAUAUUUUUUCCAUUCUUUGUAAUCUGUCUUUCGCUAUAGUGGGUACUCUGGACCUCUUUCAAUUGAACAUUGGAACAUUCACAAAUAACUGAAAGACAUACCUCUUUUGUGCAUACCAUUCAAAUGUUACCUUAUUUGAAUUAUUUCGAUGUUGUUGACUUGCUACUUUUCAUCCAUCCAGCUAUUUAAUGAGCUAUGCUAGUCCACAUCACAUAAUAAUUCCAAAACACAUAUUAUGGGCAUACUAAGCAGUAAGCACAAUCCUUUUUUAUAAGAAAUGUCAUAGUCAGUAGAUAUAAAGAUCUGUUAUAUGUAUCAUGUACCUUUCUACUGAUUAGCUGAUUGCUUGCAACCCAUCUCAUGAGUUGUCACCUCGUGAUUUACCAUCAACGAACAAAAUUUAAAUUUAAAUCUGGUAUUGAGGACAAAAAAGUUUUGCAUUUGUUUCUUGAACAUUAUCCACCUUGACAGUUACUUUGGUAGCUCUAGAGUUAGUGGUGCUAUACCUUCAACGUUUGCUGUUCUACGAAAUCUGCAGACAGUGUAAGAGCUUUCUGAACUAUCCUUUUUGCAUAUCUGAGAAACUAAAAUAUUGUGUUCAGAUUAAUUAUUUUUGUUAUCAAUUUUACUGAGGAAGAAUUUUGGGGAUCUCAGGUGGGCUUCAGACAAUGAACUCACUAGUAGCAUACCUGAAUUCAUUGGGAAUUGGUCAAAGCUUAAAAGCUUGAGAUUUCAGGGAAACUCCUUUGGAGGUCCAAUAGCAACAACAUUUUCCAACUUAACCUUGAUGGAGGACUUGAGAAUAAGUGAUUUAUCUAAUGGACAUUCUUCAUUGGCGUUUCUUAAGGAUAUGAAGUCUUUGAAUCUCUUAAUUCUGAGGAAUAACAAUAUUUCUGGAUCUAUCUCAUCCAAUAUUGGAGAUUAUCAAAGAUUGUUACAACUGUAAGUUAUUGCUAUAAAUUUCAGGUCAGCUCCCAUAUACUUCAACCUGAAAUUUUGCCAGUUUAGAGCCAGAUGGGGGAAGAUGGAGUCAAAACCAGACAGCCAACUCUAUGAAGCAAAUACUUUUACUGUAUUUACGUUAUUAUAUAAUGAAUUUAAUUGACCAUGGUUUGUAUAAUUUUUCAGGGAUUUUAGCUUCAACAAAUUAACUGAACAGAUUCUUGAUUCGCUGUUCAAUUUGAGCUCUCUUGUAAUAAACAUCUUGUGUUGUAUUAUUUUAGAAUCUUUCCAACAAAUACUGUUUAUUGCUUGAACUAA
Camellia sinensis is the source of this 1615-nucleotide non-coding RNA. Lineage: Eukaryota; Viridiplantae; Streptophyta; Magnoliopsida; Ericales; Theaceae. The record is from RefSeq and is a predicted model, not a curated record.